Molecule: ribosomal RNA, 395 nt
Filed under: uncultured bacterium
Lineage: Bacteria
Description: bacterial SSU rRNA
Rfam family: Bacterial small subunit ribosomal RNA
Source: RNAcentral
UAAGACAGAGGUGGCAAGCGUUGUUCGGAAUCACUGGGCUUAAAGGGCGCGUAGGUGGUAGUGCAAGUCUGAGGUGGAAUCCCAUGGCUUAACCAUGGAACUGCCUUGGAAACUGCAUUACUUGAGUCAGUGAGGGGAGGGUAGAAUUCCUGGUGUAGCGGUGAAAUGCGUAGAUAUCAGGAGGAAGGCCGGUGGCGAAGGCGGCCCUCUGGCGCUGAACUGACACUGAGGCGCGAAAGCGUGGGGAGCAAACAGGAUUAGAUACCCUGGUAGUCCACGCCCUAAACGGUGGGUACUAGGUGUAGGGCUCGUAAGGGUUCUGUGCCGAAGCGAAAGCAUUAAGUACCCCGCCUGGGGAGUACGGCCGCAAGGUUGAAACUUAAAUGAAUUGACGG